RNAcentral lists this ribosomal RNA (452 nucleotides) under uncultured organism. RNAcentral's name for it is "partial 16S ribosomal RNA". It matches the Rfam family "Bacterial small subunit ribosomal RNA", at positions 334 to 803 of the family's 1533-position model. The record is from RNAcentral.
CACUCCUGCGGGAGGCAGCAGUGGGGAAUAUUGGACAAUGGGCGCAAGCCUGAUCCAGCCAUGCCGCGUGAGUGAUGAAGGCCCUAGGGUUGUAAAGCUCUUUCACCGGUGAAGAUAAUGACGGUAACCGGAGAAGAAGCCCCGGCUAACUUCGUGCCAGCAGCCGCGGUAAUACGAAGGGGGCUAGCGUUGUUCGGAUUUACUGGGCGUAAAGCGCACAUAGGCGGACUAUUAAGUCAGGGGUGAAAUCCCGGGGCUCAACCCCGGAACUGCCUUUGAUACUGGUAGUCUUGAGUUCGAGAGAGGUGAGUGGAAUUCCGAGUGUAGAGGUGAAAUUCGUAGAUAUUCGGAGGAACACCAGUGGCGAAGGCGGCUCACUGGCUCGAUACUGACGCUGAGGUGCGAAAGCGUGGGGGGCAAACAGGAUUAGAAACCCGGGUAGUCCCCAUGAU